CUGUGGCAGCGCUCCCGGCCACUAGAGGUCGGGCAACAUUCCCCAGUUUGGAAGGACACGAGUGGAUCCAAUCGACUGCACUCCACCGCCACCAUCUCCACCAGCAUCGCCCACACCGCUGUCAUCCGCUCCGUCGCUGUGCCAUCGUCGUCCACUGUGCCGCCAUCCGCUCCACCGUCGUGCCAUCGUCGUCCACUGAGCCGCCAUUGGAAGAGUGCUAAGUGGAAGCAACAUAUGAAGCUCACAUGGAGAAGGAAAAUGGAACGACAGUCCACAUGA
This 279-nucleotide unclassified non-coding RNA is filed under the name Zea mays. RNAcentral's name for it is "misc RNA Zm00001eb237330". The record is from RNAcentral. Lineage: Eukaryota; Viridiplantae; Streptophyta; Magnoliopsida; Poales; Poaceae.